This 433-nucleotide ribosomal RNA is filed under the name uncultured bacterium. Its description in RNAcentral is "partial 16S ribosomal RNA". It matches the Rfam family "Bacterial small subunit ribosomal RNA", at positions 29 to 507 of the family's 1533-position model. The record is from RNAcentral.
AACGAACGCUGGCGGCAUGCCUAACACAUGCAAGUCGAACGAGACCUUCGGGUCUAGUGGCGCACGGGUGCGUAACGCGUGGGAACCUGCCCUUAGGUUCGGAAUAACUCCCCGAAAGGGGUGCUAAUACCGGAUAAUGUCUUCGGACCAAAGAUUUAUCGCCCUUGGAUGGGCCCGCGUUGGAUUAGCUAGUUGGUAGGGUAAAAGCCUACCAAGGCGACGAUCCAUAGCUGGUCUGAGAGGAUGAUCAGCCACACUGGGACUGAGACACGGCCCAGACUCUUACGGGAGGCAGCAGUGGGGAAUAUUGGACAAUGGGCGAAAGCCUGAUCCAGCAAUGCCGCGUGAGUGAUGAAGGCCUUAGGGUUGUAAAGCUCUUUUACCCGGGAUGAUAAUGACAGUACCGGGAGAAUAAGCUCCGGCUAACUCCGUG